UACGUAGGGUCCGAGCGUUGUCCGGAAUUAUUGGGCGUAAAGAGCUCGUAGGCGGUUUGUCGCGGCUGCUGUGAAAUCCCGAGGCUCAACCUCGGGUCUGCAGUGGGUACGGGCAGACUGGAGUGCGGUAGGGGAGAAUGGAAUUCCUGGUGUAGCGGUGGAAUGCGCAGAUAUCGGGAGGAACACCGAUGGCGAAGGCAGUUCUCUGGGCCGUAACUGACGCUGAGGAGCGAAAGUGUGGGGAGCGAACAGG
This 253-nucleotide ribosomal RNA is filed under the name uncultured bacterium. RNAcentral describes it as "partial 16S ribosomal RNA". It matches the Rfam family "Bacterial small subunit ribosomal RNA", at positions 524 to 776 of the family's 1533-position model. The record is from RNAcentral.